RNAcentral lists this long non-coding RNA (1980 nucleotides) under Prunus persica (peach). RNAcentral's name for it is "long non-coding RNA (PPER_LNC001409)". The record is from RNAcentral. Lineage: Eukaryota; Viridiplantae; Streptophyta; Magnoliopsida; Rosales; Rosaceae.
AAAACUAAGAAUAGAGAUUCCACAAGAAUUAAGAAGAAUCACAACUUUCGCUGAAGUGGACUUGAGAUAAUAAAAAUUCAAAGUAUCGACUUGAGAUAAUAAAAAUUCAAAGUAUCAAUAUUUGGUGGUUUUUUUAGUACAAAGAUUUCAAGCACAUUUACCUGAAUAUGUUGUUAUCCCUUGGCCAGGCCCCGCCUUAAUGCUUGCAGCAUCUCAAGCCAAGAAUCCGAGCAAGUUGUCUAAAUGGAAGAAACCUCAUUAGACCCCUGCUGCUGAUUAAUAAUCUGUUGCACAAUGUUCAUAAUGCAAACCAAGUCAAACACAAAAUACAGAAGCCCCAUAACCAAUAGCAGAAAAACAUGCAUGUCAUUAGAUUGAUUUGUUGCAACUUUUCCAACUCCAACAAUGACUAAGGGCCUGUGCCUAACAUUGAUUAGAGUCCACUAUGUUGAUGCGGCUAAGAAAAGAAAAAAAAACAAAACUCCCUCAUGUUGAAGAGUUUGAACCCCAAAAAGCGCACACACGUUAAAUUUAGAUCGGUGGUGAUUGGAUGUCUACCUCUUUUUGACAAACACAACAUUAGGUGCUAAAAUAAAAAGAAAGUGAAGUAGGAAUAACUAAAAUCUCAAUUAUAACUUACAUUAGAUUGGUGUUUAUGCAAUGAGUUAGGAGAAAGUAGGUAAAGGAGUUGAAGAAGUAAUUGAAAAUAAGUAAUGUCAGAGGAAUCACAUUUUUCAUUGGAAUGUGUGACUGUUAAAGUGUAUUAGUUACAUCAAUAAUUGUAACUAAUUAUUAAUUAACACAUAAAAUUGUUAGAAAAAGGCUGAGAAAUUUAGAGGAGAUGCUGUUUUGGUGUUGGCUGAGAAGAAAAGUACCCUUUUCUAUAUUUUGUUUUGCUAACACUUAAGGGUAGAUUGGAUAUUUGAUAUAUGAGAUGCGGCAACUGUUGAGAGUAUUUGUCCCACAUUAAAAAGUUAAGGGAUUUAGUCUGAGUUUGUAAAGAGUUGAGUUACUUUCCCCACUGCCAAUUGGUUUCAGGGUGAAACUUCAACUUCUUUCAUGGUAUCAAAGCAAGAUUUCACAUGUUGGGCUCAACGGCCACACAUGCUCUCACGCCGCUCAAUAUGUAUUGUUCAUGUGUUAAACUUAAAAGUUUGCCACACAUACAAAUUCGUGUUGAAAAUAUUUAUCCCACAUUAAAAAGUUAAAAGAACUAGUUGGACUAAUUUUCCAUUAUCAAUUAGUUUUGACUUCCUUAAGCAAUGAGAGAUGAAUGUGGACCACACCAGACCGCUUGUUUCUAAGACCCCUACUAUUAAAGGCGUAUAGUAAAGGCAAGAAAACUUGCCAGAGAAAAAAAAAGAAGUAAAGAUUGCACUGAUCAUUGACAUUGACUAUUGCAGGAAGUAAACUGCCCCUCCUACACAAAACUGACACAGGAUCUAAAGAGCAACACUUGGUUGACCCUGGUGGUGAUUCUCAGCUGUCCAUCCCGCAAAAUAAAAUUUUGGAAUGUUGCCAAGAAAUUGGUUUGAAACAAUAUUUUCCAAGUUCCAAUAUUCAAUUACGUACAAAUCUCACUCUCCUUUAUUUUCUAUGUUACCUAAUAGGAGGCCCCACCUCCGUGAGGCACUACUGCUUUUUUGAAACUUGUCCUUCGAUUCUGACAUGUUAAAAGAUAUGGAAGAGUAAAUGUAACAAGCAAUUGACAAAAAAAAAACUCAACAAUUUCCUUCGUGCACAUGACGGUGAUGUUCUUCUUCUUGUUUUCAUUCAAAUCAUAUUCGUCAUCUUUGUUGUCUACUUCUUAUGAGAUGAAAGCUAAACUCGUAGCACAUUGCUAGAUGCCAUGCCUACAUACCAUCUUUCCAUGUCUAUUUAUUACUAGCAAAUAAAUAAUAAUAUCAUUAUAUUAACUAAGUCCAAGAGAAGACAGAGUAUCUUCUUACGUACCUGUUUUGUUGCGGGUUUCAAACGAAA